This 359-nucleotide long non-coding RNA is filed under the name Androctonus crassicauda. The record is from RNAcentral. Lineage: Eukaryota; Metazoa; Arthropoda; Arachnida; Scorpiones; Buthidae.
AGAAAAUUUAAUGCUACCAGUACCACCGUGUAAAAGAAAUAAAAAAGGUCAGACGUCUUACCUGAACCAACAUUUUAAUAAUGAAGAAGAGGUGAAAUGCACUGCAUAUAACCAAACAGACAUUAUAUUUGGAAAUCUCACUGAUGAAUUAUCAAAAAAACCAGAAAAGAUUGAAGGUCAACAAUUCACUCCAAAGAAUAUAAAAAACAAGAGAUAUGAAAAGCUUAACCAACUUCACCCAUGAACAGUUCUAUAAUAUUUACAAUUUCAUUUCCCUUCAGAAUGAUUUCAAUCAAGAUUGUUUUGAGUGUAAUUGACCAAUUUUUUUUAUUUAUGAUUAGAAUAAGAACUGGAAUAGC